AUUAAUCAGGUUACAAAUAUGCUUGCUGUGAUAGACGGUGUUGGCGGUGAUACUAGUGUUAAGCCGCAACAACCGGUAUGUCACUUGCUCUCUGUCCCUCACCGUCGUUUUGAUGUUUAUAGUAAUAAAAAUUAUUUCGUUCAGUUCGAGAACAGACACUACA
Molecule: long non-coding RNA, 163 nt
Organism: Sinocyclocheilus grahami
Lineage: Eukaryota; Metazoa; Chordata; Actinopteri; Cypriniformes; Cyprinidae
Exons: 3
Source: RefSeq, a predicted model, not a curated record